This 255-nucleotide ribosomal RNA is filed under the name uncultured bacterium. RNAcentral's name for it is "partial 16S ribosomal RNA". It matches the Rfam family "Bacterial small subunit ribosomal RNA", at positions 524 to 776 of the family's 1533-position model. The record is from RNAcentral.
UACGGAGGGUGCAAGCGUUGUCCGGAAUCACUGGGCGUAAAGGGCGCGUAGGCGGCUCAUGAAGGCUGUGGUGAAAGUCCGGGGCUCAACCUCGGAUCGGCCGUGGCGACUCGUGGGCUGGAGCACUGUAGAGGCGGGUGGAAUUCCGGGUGUAGCGGUGGAAUGCGUAGAGAUCCGGAAGAACACCAGUGGCGAAGGCGGCCCGCUGGGCAGUGGCUGACGCUGGAGGCGCGGACAGCGUGGGGAGCAAACAGG